CUCUCUCUCUCUCUCUCUCUCUCUAAGUACCCCUUUCCUCUCUCUGGCACACGCAUAUGGCGUUGUCUCGUUUCUUCCUAUCGGAAGCAGAGCUCCGAUUGCCCAAGAAAGGCUUUCCGAGAUCGCGAAGAUGGUUCGCUUCUCCUCCUCGUGCUCCUCCUCCUCCUCCUAAGAAGGUCUCCAAUAAUGCUGAAGCCACCAAAGAGAGGAAGAUAGAAGCUGUAAAGUCGUUCAUUCAAAGAUAUAUGGGAACACAUCCUGGUGUCUUUCCUAAGCCAAAAGAAGUUCGUGAUGAAGUGGGUGGAUCAUGGUACAUUGUAAAAGAUAUCUUAGCAAAAAUGAAAACAAAAUUGCUGCCUGAAUCUCUAAGUGACAACCAGAUUGCAAGUUCAGAAUUGCACAUUACAGCAGAGGAAACUCCUGAGACUACAGUUAUAAAAGAAAAUUCAGAUAGUGGAGAGCUGGACAUGCCUGGAAAAGGAUUUGCUUUGUCAACAGAGCCGUUGAAUGUAACAGAAUCUCAUAGCGCACCAGAUAUAGAUACAGCAGCGCUAUCAUCUGCAAGAAGUUUGGAGGAUACAGAACUAUUUGAAAAAGAACAAAUGGAACAAUCAGUAAAUAGUCUUGCAUCUUCUAAAACGGUGGGGAGCUGGCAGCAAUCUCACUCCCUUAAUCAUGUUGCUGAGGAUGAAGAAAAGUCUAUCAGCAUGCAUGAACAUGAGGCUCAAUUAACAGAAGCUACACCGAAUGGUAAUGAAGAGUACCUGACAGACAAAAAAUGCCAGGAAUCGAAUCAGAACUCUCAAGCAACAAAUGUUAAUUUCCUGACACCUAAUCAGAGUUCCCCAUCAAUUGACAUCGCAGCAUCAGAUCAAAAGGUCAUUAAUUUGGUUGAGUUUUCUAAAAGAACUACAGAAGAAGUGGGGUUAAAGUGCAGAAAGACCGACACUUUGAAACAUGAGACAUCUGGUUUGAGAGGGGAAAACAAACAUGUCAGUGGUUUAGUGGAUCUAUUCAAAAGAAAACGAAAAGACUCCAAAGAUGAUGAUGUAAUCGACAAGAAAUAUAUAAGGCAAGACAAGUCCUUGAAUCCAAAAGAGGAAAUUAGAGAGGAUUCUGAGAGGAAAUCAGAAGUCAAAGAUCUUCUUAACCGAAUAAUGAAACUUUCAAAAGAUGCACAUAAGGCUGGAUCUUGGGCAGCUAUACCUAAUAAUGAAAUUGACAAGGGAGUGAGGGGUUUUGUUGAUGAAAGUAUAAAGCUACUGACUUUGAAUGAUGAAAGCGAGUACAGGAAAUCUGCAGGGCAGACAGACGGAGAGGAACCAAAGGAAGUAAAUACAUUACAUUCAGAGGUGAGAGAUAAUACCCAGAAGAGUCAACCCAGUGACUACAAUGUUGUAAAUAUGAAUCUUCAAUUAAAUAAAAAUGGAAAAGCAAUGGGGUCCCCGGAUAUAUUGGAGUCCGAACUUUUGAGUGAAGCAAGUGAUUCUGAUAUUGCAGCAUUUGACUAUCAAGAGCCGGAGUCACAGGAUGAGGUUGCUUUGUCAACUCAACCACAGAAUUUGGAUGCUUUUCUAAAAGAAGGAACAGGAAAUCAUGAAAACCGCCUCUUGGUGAAUUUUUUGCUGAAAGCAGCCAAGAUCAAUGAUAUUGGUCGUGCUUUCCGUGAUUGUGGGCCGAUUAAUGAAAUCCGUGUUGUUCGCACAAGAAUAGAGAACAGAUACAACUAUGCUUAUGUUUGUUUCAAGACAGAAGAGGGGCUGGUUAAAGCUCUAAGUAAGACUGAUGUGGCUGUAUGCGGUGCAGAUGUUGUUGUAGAGGCAGCUUCUCCUAUAGAGUUUCACAGCAGAUUGUCUAACGUGGAGCCUGCCAAAGAUGGAGAUUUCCCUUCAGCUUUUCUCCAAAAUCCAACUCGGACAGUAGUGGUGAAAGGGUUGCCAGAAAAUACACCAUUUUAUCAGCUGAAACAUGCACUAUCAUUCUGGGGGCGCAUCUCUGGCCUUGCCAUGGGCUCCACGGGAUCCAGUGUUUAUGUUGAGUAUGAGGUAGAAAAAAUAGUUUUCCCGUCUCAAGCUCUUCAGACUUCAGAUUUCAUCCUGCUUCAAAGGAUUCAGGUCAGAAGAAUCAAAGGAAAUGGCUCUUGCAGUAGCCACUGUGUCUAUACUAGGAAAGAAGCUUAUGAUCUACAGGAUUGAUGCACCCAAAACGACUGUUGUGAGAAUCUCAAGAGUGAACUCCCAUACCGGAAUAACAAGGAUUCAGAACAUAUGUGAAUCCUAUGGGCAAGUCAAGAGAAUAAUUGGCAGAGAUGUUGACACUUUUGACGUGCACUUCAAAUUGUCUGAAUACGGCAACAUGCUGAAGAUCCUAAACAGAUUGAAUGGUAUGGUGGUUGAUCACCAUAAGUGGGUUGCACAACCUGCAACAGUCAUUCCAGCUGAAAUACUUCAAACUCUAUGGAGCAAACCUCAGGGCCGAAAGCAUGUGCACAAACUGAUCCAAAAUCUUUGCAGAAAAAUAGAAGAGAAAAACAUAGAUACUUCACGUAUGCUCAGUCUUGCACAAGAACACUAUGGGGAUAGCUGAGUUAUAUAGGAAGGACUUUGUUCAUUCAUCCCAUUUUUGUUUUGAAGUUGUAGUUUCAUUGAUAGCAUCUUCUCUUCUUACAUUGAAGGAUCCCAGAGACGAAAGAAAAUGGGAGGAAACACCAUUUUGAUGAUGUGGAAUUUGCAAUAUCUGAAAUAUACAUGGCAUUCAUUUUGGUAUGCUGAUUUUUUUUUUUUGAAAUGUUUGAUACGCUGAUAGUUGUGCUUAUAUGGAUGUUAAAUUAACCAUAUUCUUGUUUAAGCUUAUAAAAUGCUAAGUUGCCAGUGCGAACUUGCUGCAUUAAUUGCAACAUAUGUGGCUAUUGCUGUGGACUUCUGAA
This is a non-coding RNA of Elaeis guineensis (African oil palm), 2926 nucleotides long. NCBI's taxonomy places the organism in Eukaryota, Viridiplantae, Streptophyta, Magnoliopsida, Arecales, Arecaceae. The record is from RefSeq and is a predicted model, not a curated record.